GAUGAACGCUGGCGGCGUGCCUAAUACAUGCAAGUCGAGCGAACGGACGAGAAGCUUGCUUCUCUGAUGUUAGCGGCGGACGGGUGAGUAACACGUGGAUAACCUACCUAUAAGACUGGGAUAACUUCGGGAAACCGGAGCUAAUACCGGAUAAUAUUUUGAACCGCAUGGUUCAAAAGUGAAAGACGGUCUUGCUGUCACUUAUAGAUGGAUCCGCGCUGCAUUAGCUAGUUGGUAAGGUAACGGCUUACCAAGGCAACGAUGCAUAGCCGACCUGAGAGGGUGAUCGGCCACACUGGAACUGAGACACGGUCCAGACUCCUACGGGAGGCAGCAGUAGGGAAUCUUCCGCAAUGGGCGAAAGCCUGACGGAGCAACGCCGCGUGAGUGAUGAAGGUCUUCGGAUCGUAAAACUCUGUUAUUGGGGAAGAACAUAUGUGUAAGUAACUGUGCACAUCUUGACGGUACCUAAUCAGAAAGCCACGGCUAACUACGUGCCAGCAGCCGCGGUAAUACGUAGGUGGCAAGCGUUAUCCGGAAUUAUUGGGCGUAAAGCGCGCGUAGGCGGUUUUUUAAGUCUGAUGUGAAAGCCCACGGCUCAACCGUGGAGGGUCAUUGGAAACCGGAAAACUUGAGUGCAGAAGAGGAAAGUGGAAUUCCAUGUGUAGCGGUGAAAUGCGCAGAGAUAUGGAGGAACACCAGUGGCGAAGGCGACUUUCUGGUCUGUAACUGACGCUGAUGUGCGAAAGCGUGGGGAUCAAACAGGAUUAGAUACCCUGGUAGUCCACGCCGUAAACGAUGAGUGCUAAGUGUUAGGGGGUUUCCGCCCCUUAGUGCUGCAGCUAACGCAUUAAGCACUCCGCCUGGGGAGUACGACCGCAAGGUUGAAACUCAAAGGAAUUGACGGGGACCCGCACAAGCGGUGGAGCAUGUGGUUUAAUUCGAAGCAACGCGAAGAACCUUACCAAAUCUUGACAUCCUUUGACAACUCUAGAGAUAGAGCCUUCCCCUUCGGGGGGCAAAGUGACAGGUGGUGCAUGGUUGUCGUCAGCUCGUGUCGUGAGAUGUUGGGUUAAGUCCCGCAACGAGCGCAACCCUUAAGCUUAGUUGCCAUCAUUAAGUUGGGCACUCUAAGUUGACUGCCGGUGACAAACCGGAGGAAGGUGGGGAUGACGUCAAAUCAUCAUGCCCCUUAUGAUUUGGGCUACACACGUGCUACAAUGGACAAUACAAAGGGCAGCGAAACCGCGAGGUCAAGCAAAUCCCAUAAAGUUGUUCUCAGUUCGGGUUGUAGUCUGCAACUCGACUACAUGAAGCUGGAAUCGCUAGUAAUCGUAGAUCAGCAUGCUACGGUGAAUACGUUCCCGGGUCU
This 1372-nucleotide ribosomal RNA is filed under the name uncultured bacterium. Its description in RNAcentral is "bacterial SSU rRNA". It matches the Rfam family "Bacterial small subunit ribosomal RNA", at positions 28 to 1381 of the family's 1533-position model. The record is from RNAcentral.